RNAcentral lists this long non-coding RNA (747 nucleotides) under Sus scrofa (pig). Its description in RNAcentral is "lncRNA (ENSSSCG00015079437.1)". Lineage: Eukaryota; Metazoa; Chordata; Mammalia; Artiodactyla; Suidae. The record is from RNAcentral.
AGGAAAUUGGGUGGGUGAGCCCUGGGGACUUCAAGGAGAAGAGCAAGUGCAAAGGCCCUGAGGUGGGCAUAUGUUUGGGCUGCUCAGGGAGCAGUGUGGCCGGAGCAGGUUGAUAGGGGAGACUAAUAGGAGGUGACGCUGGAGAGAGAGUUGGUGGCUGGCCCUGCGGGGUCUUAAAGGCCAUUGUGAGGGUGCGGCUUUAUCCUGAGUGAAGAAGGGAAGUGAGCAGAGGAUUUUGAGCAAAGCAUUCCUCGAUCUGCUGUGUGGAAGAUAGGAUUUUGCCCCUGAACUCCCCAUACAGAUUCCGCCCAUCGGCGAGCUGACCACGUUCAGACUUCCACCUGCUCCGGCUUGCUAAUAUUCCAGCCGACUGAUGUGAUCAUCACCAGGGGUUGUGGUCAUCAUCUUCAGGGAAGGCGAAGGCAAGGUGGGGAGAGACGCCUCCUGCUGGGUGGACUCGGAGAGGCCUUGCUGGUGUUUUCAGAGCAGAGAGGCUCCUGAACACGGAAGAGGACUCCUCGGCUGCAGCUGGAGGACACAGCCCUGGGCUUCGGAGUGCCCCAUCGGGGCAGUAGAAAGAAGAAAAGCAAGGAUGGGCCACAGGUUUCUGUCAGUCUGGUGAACCCCAGCGGGCACCUCUCGCAGCUACAAGGUGACAGCAUGGUAAGGUGCCUCCUUUUGGGUCAUCCCAGCAAAUCGGUACAAGUUAUAAUUAAAACUGCACGAACAGCCCUGGGGACGUGGCAA